UACGAAGGGUCCAAGCGUUGUUCGGAAUUACUGGGCGUAAAGCGCGCGUAGGCGGGUUCGUAAGUCGAUUGUGAAAGCCCUGGGCUUAACCCGGGAAUGGCAGUCGAAACUGCGAAUCUUGAAUGUCUGAGAGGAUGGCGGAAUUCCCGGUGUAGUAGUGAAAUACGUAGAUAUCGGGAAGAACACCUGAGGCGAAGGCGGCUAUCUGGCGGUACAUUGACGCUGAGGCGCGAAAGCGUGGGGAGCAAACAGG
Molecule: ribosomal RNA, 253 nt
Filed under: uncultured bacterium
Lineage: Bacteria
Description: partial 16S ribosomal RNA
Rfam family: Bacterial small subunit ribosomal RNA
Source: RNAcentral